Molecule: long non-coding RNA, 590 nt
Organism: Zingiber officinale
Lineage: Eukaryota; Viridiplantae; Streptophyta; Magnoliopsida; Zingiberales; Zingiberaceae
Exons: 2
Source: RefSeq, a predicted model, not a curated record
GUAGCCGUUGAGUCAUCCCGUUACGACCCAUAAGAAUAUGUAGCCGUUGCCCGUUGAGUCAUCCCGAUGCCUUCUCUCCCGUGUUUGCUCUCCUCUCGAGCGGCUCUCUCUGGCGAUCCCCAAUGUCACGUGAUCGCCUCCUCUCGUGAGGUCGAUCUGCUUUCUCCCCUUGCAGCGUGGGCAACGUACCACGAUCUCUAGUGCGACCAAUCGCUGCCGGAGGCCUGCGGAGCCUCCGACCGAGCUACAAUACCUAUAUCGCGGCACAAUCUUGCGAUCUCUGCAGCGAGGGUCGUCUUCUUGACUUCUUCUUUCCCAGCCUUCUUUCCCACCCUGGAGAAAUUGAAGUCGAGCAUCCCUUGCAUCUUUUUCAUUGUGAUGCUAUUUCACCUUUUUCUAGGUCUUGGUACUUUCUUUCUUGUUCGGUGAGAGAUAUCAGCUAUCGUUAGUGUAGUUUGGCUGGUGUUUUUUUUCCCAUAUGGCGUCGCUGAUUGGAAUGUUGUUUUCUUUUUAGUUUUUCAUUUAAUUGGGGAUUUUGGCAGUUGAUGUGACUUUCUUUCUUCUUGAUCAGGUGUUUAUAGACUUCUUUA